ACCUAAAUAGCUUAUUUUAGAGCGUGACAUUGAAGAUGUUGAGGAAGUUGUUUAAUUUUUAGGUA
This 65-nucleotide transfer RNA is filed under the name Pyrgacris descampsi. Its description in RNAcentral is "tRNA-Phe". It matches the Rfam family "tRNA". Rfam says of the family: Transfer RNA (tRNA) molecules are approximately 80 nucleotides in length. Their secondary structure includes four short double-helical elements and three loops (D, anti-codon, and T loops). Further hydrogen bonds mediate the characteristic L-shaped molecular structure. tRNAs have two regions of fundamental functional importance: the anti-codon, which is responsible for specific mRNA codon recognition, and the 3' end, to which the tRNAs corresponding amino acid is attached (by aminoacyl-tRNA synthetases). tRNAs cope with the degeneracy of the genetic code in two manners: having more than one tRNA (with a specific anti-codon) for a particular amino acid; and 'wobble' base-pairing, i.e. permitting non-standard base-pairing at the 3rd anti-codon position. Lineage: Eukaryota; Metazoa; Arthropoda; Insecta; Orthoptera; Pyrgacrididae. The record is from RNAcentral.